GGGAUUAGAUACCCCACUAUGCUUAGCCUUAAACCUAGAUGCUACAUUUACAAGUGGCGUCCGCCAGGGUACUACAGGCGCUAGCUUGAAACCCAAAGGACUUGACGGUGUCUCAGACCCACCUAGAGGAGCCUGUUCUAGAACCGAUAAUCCCCGUUAAACCUCACCACCCCUUGUCUUCUCCGCCUAUAUACCGCCGUCGCAAGCUUACCCUGUGAAGGUCCUAUAGUAAGCAAAAUGGGCAUACCCCAAAACGUCAGGUCGAGGUGUAGCUUACGAGGUGGGAAGAAAUGGGCUACAUUUUCUAUAUCAGAAUAUCACGAACGGCGCUGUGAAAUUAGUGCUUGAAGGUGGAUUUAGUAGUAAUAAAGAAAUAGAGAGUCUUUUUGAACCAGGCUCUGAGACGCGCACACACCGCCC
Molecule: ribosomal RNA, 420 nt
Filed under: Attonitus bounites
Lineage: Eukaryota; Metazoa; Chordata; Actinopteri; Characiformes; Stevardiidae
Description: partial 12S ribosomal RNA
Rfam family: Bacterial small subunit ribosomal RNA
Source: RNAcentral